UGGGGAAUUUUGCACAAUGGGGGAAACCCUGAUGCAGCGACGCCGCGUGAUUUAGAAGGCCUUCGGGUUGUAAAAAUCUUUUCUAUGGGAAGAAAAUGACAGUACCAUAGGAAUAAGGACCGGCUAAUUACGUGCCAGCAGCCGCGGUAAUACGUAAGGUCCGAGCGUUGUCCGGUAUCAUUGGGCGUAAAGGGUACGUAGGCGGGUAAGCAAGUUAGAAGUGAAAUCCUAUAGCUCAACUAUAGUAAGCUUUUAAAACUGCUCAUCUUGAGGUAUGGAAGGGAAAGUGGAAUUCCUAGGGUAGCGGUGAAAUGCGCAGAUAUUAGGAGGAAUACCGGUGGCGAAGGCGACUUUCUGGCCAUAACCUGACGCUGAGGUACGAAAGCGUGGGUAGCAAACAGG
This 402-nucleotide ribosomal RNA is filed under the name bacterium. RNAcentral's name for it is "partial 16S ribosomal RNA". It matches the Rfam family "Bacterial small subunit ribosomal RNA", at positions 355 to 776 of the family's 1533-position model. The record is from RNAcentral.